RNAcentral lists this transfer RNA (74 nucleotides) under Trachyrincus murrayi (roughnose grenadier). RNAcentral describes it as "tRNA-Lys". It matches the Rfam family "tRNA". Rfam says of the family: Transfer RNA (tRNA) molecules are approximately 80 nucleotides in length. The record is from RNAcentral. Lineage: Eukaryota; Metazoa; Chordata; Actinopteri; Gadiformes; Macrouridae.
CACUAAGAAGCUUACCAGGGCCAAGCGCCAGCCUUUUAAGCUGGAGACCGGUGAUUCCCGACCACCCUAAGUGA